Molecule: long non-coding RNA, 99 nt
Organism: Sinocyclocheilus anshuiensis
Lineage: Eukaryota; Metazoa; Chordata; Actinopteri; Cypriniformes; Cyprinidae
Exons: 3
Source: RefSeq, a predicted model, not a curated record
AACGGGCUUCAUGUGCCAGAGAAACUCCAAACACACCUCGCAGAAGAAAUCCAGGAAAUCCCUAUCGCAGCAGCUGAAUAAACAGAAGAUUUAACUGCU